RNAcentral lists this ribosomal RNA (376 nucleotides) under uncultured bacterium. Its description in RNAcentral is "bacterial SSU rRNA". It matches the Rfam family "Bacterial small subunit ribosomal RNA", at positions 28 to 402 of the family's 1533-position model. The record is from RNAcentral.
GACGAACGCUGGCGGCGUGCUUAACACAUGCAAGUCGAGCGGUAAGGCCCUUUCGGGGGUACACGAGCGGCGAACGGGUGAGUAACACGUGGGUGACCUGCCCUCAGCUCUGGGAUAAGCCUGGGAAACUGGGUCUAAUACUGGAUAUGACUCCACGGUGCAUGUCGGUGGGGUGGAAAGCCUUGUGCGGCUGAGGAUGGGCCCGCGGCCUAUCAGCUUGUUGGUGGGGUGANGGCCUACCAAGGCGACGACGGGUAGCCGGCCUGAGAGGGCGACCGGCCACACUGGGACUGAGACACGGCCCAGACUCCGUACGGGAGGCAGCAGUGGGGAAUCUUGCGCAAUGGGACGAAAGCCUGACGCAGCGACGCCGCGU